AAAGGGUGCGUAGGCGGCCUGCUAAGUCUGGGGUGAAAGCCCGUUGCUCAACAGCGGAACGGCCCUGGAUACUGGUAGGCUUGAGUACAGACGAGGUUGGCGGAAUGGACGGAGUAGCGGUGAAAUGCAUAGAUACCGUCCAGAACCCCGAUUGCGAAGGCAACUGACUAGGCUGAUACUGACGCUGAGGCACGACAGCGUGGGGAGCGAACAGGAUUAGAUACCCUUGU
Molecule: ribosomal RNA, 230 nt
Filed under: uncultured bacterium
Lineage: Bacteria
Description: partial 16S ribosomal RNA
Rfam family: Bacterial small subunit ribosomal RNA
Source: RNAcentral